This 21-nucleotide non-coding RNA is filed under the name Caenorhabditis elegans. The record is from RNAcentral. Lineage: Eukaryota; Metazoa; Nematoda; Chromadorea; Rhabditida; Rhabditidae.
UCCCAUAGCAACCUGCCAAGC